CGGUUCCGGCCGGUAGUCUGGAAACUCCACAGAGUGCGGAUUGGGGAUGAGGAGGCGAGGCAGGAAGACAAGGGGAGAUGUGAGGAGAGUGUGUGUGACUGUUACUGUGUGUCGUUGUACCGAACCGCUAAGACGCGAAGCAGGGCUUCAUUUGCGGUUAUGAUCCUGAGUACGUGAAUGGAAUUUGUGUGCCUGAGGUGUGUUACUAUGUUUGGCUGGUGUGAGGUUUCUUGAGUGUCCUCCUGUGUAUUAUGACCAUUUUCUGAACUGUGUGAGUGGGUGAGGGAGUGUGUAGGAAGCCUCAACUGAGAUUUGUGGCUAUUUUCCCGUGUGUGUGAUAUUGUUCGUGUAGGAUGCCUGUGGAUUCGUUGCUUUCACUGUGUCACAAGGUGUGUGACACUGAGGUUGUGACUAUAUGGUACUAUAUGUGGUACGUGCACUUGUGUGUUUUUGCUGCCGUUUUUGGUUUAGUUUGGGGAUGGCUGUGACUUUUAUGUCCCCUUGGUGUGAAUGAAUAUGUGUGAGUAGGUGUCCAUAUAGCCACUUUGGUGUGGGGCGUCUUUGUCCCUUUGUGACUAAAGCCACGGAAGACAUCUAUUAGUUCAGGGUCAUAUUCUGACCAGAAGUGCAACUUCCCAGCUUUUGGUUGGAGGCAGGGAUUAAGUACGAUGCUGCACUUCUCUGACCUCCCUCUCUCUGCCAUACUUGGAUGGAGACGUCCAGAAAGGAGUAAAGAAUGGUUGUUGAAUUGAACAUCAUCUACAAGGCAUCUGCAAGUACUCUGGAUUGAACUCGAGGCCUUCACACUGAGCUACAU
Heterocephalus glaber (naked mole-rat) is the source of this 817-nucleotide non-coding RNA. The record is from RefSeq and is a predicted model, not a curated record. Lineage: Eukaryota; Metazoa; Chordata; Mammalia; Rodentia; Bathyergidae.